AUGCGAUUCCUUGUCUCCGGAGACAAUCCCGCAGCUCUGGAAGGUGUCCGGUCCCAGGUGCAGCUAGUGGAGUCCGGAGGGGAUGUGAAAAAGCCCGGAGACUCUCUCCGCCUCUCCUGCAAAGCCUCCGGCUUCACCUUCAGCAGCUACCUUAUGCAUUGGGUCCGACAGGCUCCCGGGAAGGGGCUGGAGUGGGUGGCUGAGAUUAGGCCCGAUGGAUCGAGCCAGUCGUAUUUCCCUGCUGUUCAAGGGCGAUUCACCAUCUCCAGGGACAAUUCCAAGAGUGAGCUGUAUCUGCAAAUGACCGAACUGAGAACCGAGGACACCGCCCGCUAUUACUGUGGCAGACACUCCUGUGGAGGGUCCGCCUGCGAGAGGUCCACCGAAGCCACGGGAUCAACGGACCCUCCUCCAGCUGAGCGCUUGGCGUGCUGUGAGAACUCCAACAACCUGCUGUAUCUGCAAGUGACUGGCCUGAAGCCCAAAGACACCGACCGAUGUGCUGGCCCCUCGCACACCCCCGAAAUUCAGGAUUGA
This is a non-coding RNA of Chelonoidis abingdonii (Abingdon island giant tortoise), 537 nucleotides long. The record is from the annotation of a RefSeq genome assembly. Lineage: Eukaryota; Metazoa; Chordata; Testudines; Testudinidae.